UGGGCACAUUACUGCCCCCACUCCCACUUCCAAAAUGGAUUCUGUGAAUAAGGAAGACAGGAGAAUGGAUAUCCAAUAGGCAACUAACAAAGUGAAGUGUGAUUACAAUCAAUGAAUAGACUGAAUAUUUUAAUUAAAGUCUAGAAUUGGAGGGCUUAGGUAAGGUGGACUGGAAAACAGGAAGGUUCCACAAAACAGACUUUACUUAAUUUUUUUUUUUUUGAGACAGGGUCUUGCUCUGCUGCUGACACUGGCCUUGAGCUGCUGGUCUCAAGCGAUCCUCCAGCCUCAGCCUCCUGAGUUGGGAUUACAGGCACAAGCCACAGUGCUCGACUUUUUAUUUAAUCUUGUUAGAAGACAAGACAGAAACAUGUCCGUUGUGAAAACAAGGAAGCUGCGGGCAGAUCGAUUGACCCCAGGAGUUCAAGACCAUUCUGGGCAACAUAGCAAGACUCUAUCUCUGAAGACAAAACCAGCCAACCAACCAACCAACCAAUCAACCAACAAAAAAGAUCAAGCAGAGGUGCUCCAGAGGACGCAGCAAUAGAAUUCCGGAGCAAUGUCUGCUUGGCCUCGGUCUUCAUUCCCAUGGUGGCCCCUGAGUUCCGUGGAGCUCACUUCUACAUAGUUCCAUGUGUGACUUCAACAAAAUAAAAUGACGCAUUUAUUGGUUAAAAAUCAGAGAUUACCAUCAGAUAUGGAAAAUUGCUUUUACUUGGUAAUAACAAUCUUACGCACUUUUUACCAAACCCAUCGCAUUAAAUAACUAGCGUUUCAAAUUUUGACACUGCAUAAUAAACCCUCAUUUGAAAUGACUGGAGAAAUACUCAUCAAAUCUCAUGGAAGAAUGACAGAAUUUUCUCCAGAAUUUAUCGGAAAGGAAAAGAGGUUGGACUGUCAGGAAACGUUUUCAGGGUAACAUACUUACUAUUUUCUAGACAGUUACUCAGAUAACACUUGUACGCAGAGGGAAACACACCCCUGGGCUUUGCAAACACUUGUUUCCUGUGUGUCAGACUCGCCUGCAUCCUGUUUAUCAAAUGGAACGGAUAGUUAUUGAAAGCAAAGACCAGAACAACUUACCUCUUGUCAGUCACCUGCUUUUCUUUACUUGUCAUACUUUUAGCAUUUACAAAGUUUUAAAAAUGUGUUUAUCAUUUGGUAAUUAUUUUUAAACUUUAUUUGAAAAUAUAGACUGAGUUCUGAACAAAUUAUCCUUAAAUUUCUUCCUCUAGUAGUUACACUUUUCAGUAUCAGUGAAGUUUUAUGACGCCUCUAUUUUUCCUACCCACACAGCAUCUCAAGUUUGUCUUUACAGAAUAACUGGAAGUCCUAGCUUUAUCCUCUCUCUGCGUUUCUCUCUCACAGCCCCCUCCUCUUGGACUCUGCUCUUCCUCUCAGCACCGUAACCUUUUUAAUUUCCAGAUAGGUUUUGAAAACACCAUCUGUUCCCCUCUUAGGAUCCCUGGGGCAGAUGAUAGGUGAACCCCACAUCCCAGACACAUGGCCACCAAAGAUAUUCUUGCUUUUUUAAUGUUUAUCAAGUUCCUCCGCAGACAACAGAAACCAGAAAGUGAUCCGCUGCCAGCGACAGGGAGACACACAACUGGUCCUUAUUCUAAAGACCCGACCCAGCCUGGAAUGGGGCCCGGCGAGGAGUUCUUGCGCCGGCCGCGGGGACUGGGCGGUAAUGAGCCGCUAGUCUCGGAAGGUGGUGCUGUUGGGUGUGAGGGGAGAUCCGGCUUGCGCUGAAACAGCGAGCGGCGUGCAAGGAGGAAGCCGCGAUUUCCAAGGCGGAUUCCCUUCGCUGGGACACAACUCUUGAGAAUAAGACUUAUAAGGACUCUGAGAGUUUGAGGCAGAGGCAGAACGGCUCUGGGCUGAGUGAUGGGGAGGAUACCAGCACUCAGCGCGGGUGGCGGGCGCGGGGCCGAGCGCGCGCAUCCAGGGACGCCUUGGGGACGGGACGCGGAGAAAAGUUGCCGGGCGGAGAGAAAGGGUGGCGCUGGAAACCAAAUGGCUUUCAUCCCCUGGAGACAAAGAGGUGCCUUCUUUUGACAACAGCUGCCAGUGACACACACACCAUACGGCGGGGCCGGCGGGGGAGGGGAGCCCGGGAGGAGAGCGUCUAAGGCGGGGACCGGCACUGACUUUCAAUAAUGGGGUGGUUGCCAUGGUGACGGGCCAGGCAUCUAAAGGGGCGGCUGAAAGCACCCAUUGUUCUGGGGCCCGGCUGCUCGGGUUGUGCCUGUUCCUAAGAGACACCUUUAGACACCUCCCUCCGUGCAGGGGCGAGCUGCGGCCCGGGGCUGGGAGCGUCUCCGCGGGAGUUUCACACCAGGGCCCCAGGCCGCAGAUCGCAGCGCCGCCUUGGCUGCACGCGCGCUGCAUACGGAGGGCAGCGCCGCCUCCCACGCACUAUCCGCCCGAAAUCCGAGCGCGACGCGCGCCCGCCUGGGCCCAGACGCGCAGGCCGGGACACGCAGCUCCGCCUGCUCCCCGCUGUCCCGGGGAGACUUCGAAUAACAAUGCGGAGCAGGACCCGGUGACUCCACAAAUAACUCGCUGAGGUCUGGGGCGAGGGCACUCGGGAAAACCCCGCAGUCACUUUGCAGUCGUGCUGGAAGGAAAAGCAGAACGGAAUCACAGGAUAAAGAAGAUUAAAAGUAACAGGGCAGCGUUGCAAUGUUGCUUGUAAGAGCAAGCAGCUGGAAACAACCUAAAAGCCCGUCCCUGGGGGCUGGGUGAAUGAUAUGGGGCGCAUCCCUCUGAGGGAACACUAAGCUGCCAUUAAAGAGUACAGGGCAGCUGUAUUUGCUGAGACGUGGAAAUUUUCCGGUGUAUUCUAAGUAAUAAAGUGCAGAAGAGUGUGAGUAGGGCUGUGUGUAUGUGGUAUGUGUGUUUGCAUCUCUGGAAGUGGUUGCUUCUUAGGAUGGUCACUGUGGGACUAGGAGUGGAGGAGAGAAAGAAAACUUGCUUUUCACCGUACUAGAAUCUUCUGCACCUUUUGAAUUUUGCCGUUUAUACUAUGUCUUUACCUGUAAAGAAAAAAGAACUUUGAAAUAAAGUUGCAUUUGCUUGAACACUGUCUAAUGAGAUGUGCCACUCUCCAUAAAGCAUCUGAACUCAUUUUUAGUGCUUUAAUAAAUAUUAAUUUUUAAAAUAUAUAUGCACAAAUGCUAUUAGCCCACAGAUAUGUAAAGGUAGUGACAGUGGCAAGUUAGAGAUGAAAAGAUACACUUCUUUCCUGCCUUCCUGUGGUGCCGAGACGGACGGAGCCAGCUGUCAUUCAAGGAGCCUGCUGUAUAACCCAUCUAUUAUUAUAUCACAUUAAUCAUAGGGAUCUCACAUUAAACAAACAUGACAUUAGGGAAAUUUUCCUAGUUACAAAAUGGUAUAUAAUCAGUGAAAUGGACUAUUGAACACCAAAUGUCAUAGAUUUUUUUUUUUUUUUUGAGACGAGUCAAGCUCUGUUACCCAGGCUGCAGUGCAGUGGUGCGAUCUCGGCUCACUGCAAGCUCCGCCUCCCUGGUUCAAGUGAUUUUGCUGCCUCAGCCUCCG
This 3561-nucleotide long non-coding RNA is filed under the name Homo sapiens (human). Its description in RNAcentral is "HSALNT0136052". The record is from RNAcentral. Lineage: Eukaryota; Metazoa; Chordata; Mammalia; Primates; Hominidae.